CAUGUGAAGCAUGUGAGGCUCCUGCUGCAGCGCCUGUUGGAGAAUCGCUUGUUCGUUAAGGUGGAAAAAUAAUGGAAUUAUGAUGUUGGGGACCGGGAGUUGCUCGCCAUCAAGCUGGCCCUGGAGGAGUGGCAGCAUUGGCUGGAGGCGGGCGAGAACCCUGUGGUGGUGUGGACAGAUCACAAGAACUUGGCGUAUCUCCAAGCAGCGAAGCAUCUCAAUGCUCGGCAAGCCAGGUCUGUUUUUUACCUGUUUCAAUCUCAUUAUUACAUACAUGCCUGGGUCCCACAACACCAAAGCAGACGCACUGUCACGCCAGUUCGCACCGGAUCCCGAUGAUGAGGGAAUCAGCCCAUCCUCCCGCCUUCGUGUUUUGUUGGAGCUUUAAUGUGGGAGAUAAAGAAGCUCAUAAGGGAGCAGGAACCCGACCCAGGAACAGGCCCAGAGGGCAAGCUGUUUGUCCCUGCAUCAGAGUAGGGUGCUCCAGUGGGCCUACACCGCACAUUUCGGCUGUCAUCUGGUUAGGAACCUCACCAUCACUUUCCUUCAGCAAUCCUUCUGGUGGCCUACUCUGAUGCAGGGAGUAUGUCGUUGACUGUCCUGUGUGUACUCAGAAUAAGGCACCGAAUUCGCCUCCUGCUGGCCUCCUGCAACCACUCCCCAUGCCCAAGUGACCCUGGUCGCACAUUGCACUGGACUUUGUCACCGGACUGCCCCCGUCAUCAGGUAACACUUUUUCAAUUCUCACCAUCAUUGACUGGUUUUCUAAGGCUGUCCACUUUGUUGCCCUGCCGAAGCUUCCAUCUGCCCUGGAGACUGCUUGGCUUCUUACCUAGCACGUGUUCAGUCUCCACGGUAUUCCUCGUGACAUCGUCUCUGGCCCAGGUCCGCAGUUCACAUUCCAGGUCUAAGAAACUUGCUCCUCGGUUUAUUGAACCCUUUCCUGUGCAAGUGGUUUUGAAUCCAGUGACUGUCCAGUUGGCCCUGCCACGUAACAUGAGAAUUCAUUAUGUCUUUCAUGUCUCCCAGGUGAGACCAGUCCGGACCAGCCCGUUGUGCCUGCCCCCUGGGUCCCCACCAUCUCUGACAAGUUUGUCUCUUUCCUUUCUCUCUGUCUCGGGGGCGAUUGUUUACGGAGGUCGCCUGGCAACGAGUGACACUUGACCCGGAAGUACCGCUGCUCUAGAAGCCGCCACACCUGGGACUGAUUCGGCAUCCACCUGCCUUUAAUUAUCCACCAUCUUAGGCAGAGCUAUUUAAUGGGUGGCCUACGACAGUCACUGCUGGAGUAUUGCACUAAGCCGCUAGUGUUCUCGGACC
This is a long non-coding RNA of Oreochromis aureus, 1320 nucleotides long. The record is from Ensembl. Lineage: Eukaryota; Metazoa; Chordata; Actinopteri; Cichliformes; Cichlidae.